UACGUAGGGCGCGAGCGUUAUCCGGAAUUAUUGGGCGUAAAGAGCUCGUAGGCGGUUUGUCACGUCUGCUGUGAAAACUGGAGGCUCAACCUCCAGCCUGCAGUGGGUACGGGCAGACUAGAGUGCGGUAGGGGAGAUUGGAAUUCCUGGUGUAGCGGUGGAAUGCGCAGAUAUCUGGAGGAACACCGGUGGCGAAGGCGGCAUCCUGGACCGAUAUUGACGCUGAUGCGCGAAAGCCAGGGGAGCAAACGGG
RNAcentral lists this ribosomal RNA (253 nucleotides) under uncultured bacterium. RNAcentral's name for it is "partial 16S ribosomal RNA". It matches the Rfam family "Bacterial small subunit ribosomal RNA", at positions 524 to 776 of the family's 1533-position model. The record is from RNAcentral.